CCCUAAAAAGUCCUUUAAACA
This 21-nucleotide transfer RNA is filed under the name Incilius coniferus (green climbing toad). RNAcentral describes it as "partial tRNA-Phe". The record is from RNAcentral. Lineage: Eukaryota; Metazoa; Chordata; Amphibia; Anura; Bufonidae. RNAcentral also lists the same sequence under 1 other name.